This 2702-nucleotide unclassified non-coding RNA is filed under the name Dimorphilus gyrociliatus. Its description in RNAcentral is "g_PROTEIN_RECEP_F1_2 domain-containing protein". The record is from RNAcentral. Lineage: Eukaryota; Metazoa; Annelida; Polychaeta; Dinophilidae.
CUGCGAUGCAAAGAUGUUUCUGUUGUAUUUUUGUCAAGAACUUAUUGGUAUUAUAUUCAAAGAUAACCUUUCAAUUUACCUAGCCGUGAAGAAUGAUUUUACAUGUCCUAAAAAUUCAAUAAUGUGUACCAAAAGCCGUAUGUGCAUACACAUUUCAAACUUAUGCGAUGGCUUUAUACAUUGUCCACAUGGAGAUGAUGAAGAAAAUUGCGAACUGCCAAUUCUUUAUUUCAAAUGCAAUGCAACUCAUCAAAUAUCUUAUAAACGCAUUUGCAACAAUAUCAAUGAUUGCGAUAAUCGUAUUGAUGAAAUUAAUUGCGAGUUUGACACUUGUGCAAAGAAUGAAUUCAGGUGCGCAAGUGGUAAUUGCAUUACAAACGAUUAUCAGUGCGAUAAUUUUAGAGAUUGUUCAGAUGGUUCAGAUGAGAAUUGUGUUGUCUCUCCUGGAGAAUGUUUAGCUCCUAAAGAACAAUUUCAAUGUGAUGAUAAGUGUAUAUUUUUACAUAAUAUGUGUGACAGCGUAGAGCACUGCAAUGACGGCACUGAUGAAAAUCAAUUGCUCUGUCUUAAGAAAAGAGGAUUAGGAUUUGUACAGUUACAAAUUGAUGCAUAUACUUGUCAUGUAACUUAUGAUAAAUAUAAUCAGCUCUAUACAAAAGUCCAGUUUCCAUAUUACAAACUUAAGAAUUGUCAAGAACAACAAUGUGCCAAGGGACAAUAUCAAUGCGAAGAGAAUCGUUAUUGUAUUGACAUAUCAGAGGUUUGCGACAAUAUAAGUCAUUGUUAUUAUCAUGAUGACGAAAUUGGUUGUGAAAAUUUUUAUCCUGCCGGCUUUUUUAUAUGUCCGAAUAAAAAACUCCUGCCUAUCGAAUAUUUAUGUGAUGAUAAUCUCGAUUGUUCAGAUGACAGUGACGAGCGUCUUUGUGAAGACAAACCAAUUUGCCCACAACACUGCGAGUGUAAUCCCUUUUACGUUGUUGUUUGUUAUCAUUCUCUAUUGGUAGAUAAUUCAAAAGAUGUAUUUAUUGAAAACAUCAAUAGUCAAAAGUUUAAACGUUUACACUUUAGUAAUGUAAACAUUUACUAUCUCAAUCAAACGAGAAAUAUUCAUGUCAAUGCUAUGGAUUUCUUUAACACCAUAUGGAAACAAUAUUUUGAUAUUUCUUAUUUAUUUCCCAAUAUCGCGUUGCUUGUCCUUGAAAAGAGCCGAAUAAGCGAUUUAGGACAAAUCUUCAGACGGCAUAUGAAAAUGUUACAACAUCUAAAUCUUCGAGAUAAUCCAAUUCAAAAUGUUGAAAAAUUUUCAUUCGAAAUUUUCCCUCAACUUCGAUUUGUCGAUUUAAGCGAAACGAAAAUUGUAUCAAUUCAUCAAAAUCUUUUCAAGGGUUUAAAACAUUUGGAGAUUAUCUAUAUGAUGAAAUUAAAAAUUCGCUGGAUAAGUCCAAAGGCGUCUGUGGACUUAAUUGGACUUCAACAACUCCAUUGGAAUGAUUCAAUUAUUAAAGAAAAUCAAAUAAUUCAUGUUAUGAAGAAUCUAAAGAAUGUUGAAUAUGUGUACAGCAAUUACUACGUUACUUGUUGUUUUGUAUGGAAAUACUCGAAUUCUUUUCGUAAAUGUUUGCCUGACAAGUCAACAAUUAGUUCAUGUUCUAACCUUAUAGCCUCUAUUAACCUUCGCGUAGCAAUAUGGGUCAUUGGAGUCCUUUGUAUAACUCUUAAUAUGCUCUCUCUUCUAUUUAGACUGAUCAUCAACAAAAAGAAGAUAAACGCAUACUUUAUUUGUCUUUGCCUUUCGGAUGUUUGCUCUGGUAUUUAUUUGGUAAGUAUUGGAAUUGUUGAUCGAUAUUACAGUGGAAAUUUUAUGGAAUAUAACUACAAUUGGAUUUAUGGAAAUGUAUGCAAAUUAAUUGGAUCAGUAUUCAGUGGUUCCCUAAUUUUAUCUAGUACUUUAUUGCUCUCUAUAACACUUGAAAGAUAUCACGCUAUUUCGAACCCAAUAAAUCACCUUACUAAGACACAAAUUCGUCUGAGUAUUGGUAUUCCUUUUCUUCUUACUUUUAUAUUGAUGACAAUACCCAUUUCUAUCUAUCAAGUAAGUUUUACCGCUGAACAAGUAUUUGGAAACGACUAUUGAAAGAUGUGAAAAUUUUAGAAUUACUUUUCAAGAUCGGCAAUUUGCUUUUCGUUACACAUUAGCAGUGAAAAAGUGGAGGGAUGGUUCUUUUCCUUCCUCAUUUUUGGAAUAUUCACUUUAGCUGUUUGUUCAAUCAUAUUAAUCUUAUAUUUCAGACUAACAAUUAUUGUUAGAAACGUCAGAAAAGAUUUUCAGACAGGAAGAGACAAAAUACAAGAGAAAUUAAGGAUGAAUGCAAUCUUAAUUGCUCUAUCAAAUUGUUUAAGCUGGUUCCCCUUAUCAUUCCUAAGUGAAUAUACAGCAAUACUGUAAAAUCUAAACAAUCUAUCGUCUUUCUAAAGGUAUAUAUUCUACUUUCAAACAUGUGGAGAUAGACAGCGAAACGUAUAAUUGGCUGAUUGUUGCAUUUAUUCCUCUCAAUCCUACAUUGAAUCCAAUUAUCUAUACGAUUGGCGAAUUUCAAACAUUUCAAAAAUCGAAACGAAAGAAAAAACUAAACUUGAAACAGGAAAAUGUGAAGAGAAACGUGAAUACUGCAGUUGGGAAAAGUAGGUCUCUUACUCACAAC